This 84-nucleotide transfer RNA is filed under the name Bradyrhizobium sp. SSBR45R. Its description in RNAcentral is "tRNA-Asp". Lineage: Bacteria; Pseudomonadati; Pseudomonadota; Alphaproteobacteria; Hyphomicrobiales; Nitrobacteraceae. The record is from RNAcentral. RNAcentral also lists the same sequence under 1 other name.
UGAAGCCAUGGGCGAUUUGCUCGCGCGCGGCGAGCCGUGUCAAGGCGCCGCGCCUUGGAACCAGUGCGAGCCUGGGGCUUUAAC